Long non-coding RNA from Lucilia sericata (common green bottle fly), 503 nucleotides. RefSeq lists it as uncharacterized. The record is from RefSeq and is a predicted model, not a curated record. The transcript is spliced from 2 exons. NCBI's taxonomy places the organism in Eukaryota, Metazoa, Arthropoda, Insecta, Diptera, Calliphoridae.
ACUGAAGUACAGUGCCAAGGAAUACUUCUUUAGGGCCGCCUUAUGUCAUUUAAGUAUUGAUUUAUUAAAUGCCCAACAUGCUAUAGAGAAAUACUCCAAUCAAUACCCAGCAUUCCAAGACUCCAGAGAAUAUAAAUUGAUUAAGGUUCUUUGUGAACAUUUGGAGGAUCAAAAUAUUGAUGGUUUCACCGAGGCUGUGAAAAACUAUGAUAGCAUUUCACGUUUGGAUCAAUGGUAUACUACCAUUUUAUUGCGUAUCAAGAAAGCUGCUGAUGAGGAUCCUGAUCUGCGAUAAAAAUCUUUAUUUUUAUUAUAUCUUUAUUAUACAUGAACCAUUUAUCUUCAACGUUUAUUUUGUUUGUUGUUUUUUUUUUGUAUACAAAAGUAAAAGAAAAUUAGUAAUUAUUAUAUACCUUUAUAAUAGUAAUAAUAAAAAUAAUAAAUAACUGGGAUCAGCUGGUCUUGAUUUAGUGUCCAAUACUAGUGUCCAAAAGCACAAAAAA